Molecule: transfer RNA, 67 nt
Filed under: Ixodes scapularis (black-legged tick)
Lineage: Eukaryota; Metazoa; Arthropoda; Arachnida; Ixodida; Ixodidae
Rfam family: tRNA
About the family: Transfer RNA (tRNA) molecules are approximately 80 nucleotides in length. Their secondary structure includes four short double-helical elements and three loops (D, anti-codon, and T loops). Further hydrogen bonds mediate the characteristic L-shaped molecular structure. tRNAs have two regions of fundamental functional importance: the anti-codon, which is responsible for specific mRNA codon recognition, and the 3' end, to which the tRNAs corresponding amino acid is attached (by aminoacyl-tRNA synthetases). tRNAs cope with the degeneracy of the genetic code in two manners: having more than one tRNA (with a specific anti-codon) for a particular amino acid; and 'wobble' base-pairing, i.e. permitting non-standard base-pairing at the 3rd anti-codon position.
Source: Rfam by way of RNAcentral
UCUUGAUUAGCUGAAUUGGUAGAGCGCUCUACUUGAAAUGGAGAGGCCCCAGGUUGAAUAUCAAGAA